RNAcentral lists this ribosomal RNA (479 nucleotides) under uncultured organism. RNAcentral's name for it is "partial 16S ribosomal RNA". It matches the Rfam family "Bacterial small subunit ribosomal RNA", at positions 329 to 799 of the family's 1533-position model. The record is from RNAcentral.
ACGUACACUCCUACGGGAGGCAGCAGUGGGGAAUUUUGGACAAUGGGCGAAAGCCUGAUCCAGCCAUGCCGCGUGCAGGAUGAAGGCCUUCGGGUUGUAAACUGCUUUUGUACGGAACGAAACGGCCUUUUCUAAUAAAGAGGGCUAAUGACGGUACCGUAAGAAUAAGCACCGGCUAACUACGUGCCAGCAGCCGCGGUAAUACGUAGGGUGCAAGCGUUAAUCGGAAUUACUGGGCGUAAAGCGUGCGCAGGCGGUUAUGUAAGACAGUCGUGAAAUCCCCGGGCUCAACCUGGGAACUGCAUCUGUGACUGCAUAGCUAGAGUACGGUAGAGGGGGAUGGAAUUCCGCGUGUAGCAGUGAAAUGCGUAGAUAUGCGGAGGAACACCGAUGGCGAAGGUAAUCCCCUGGACCUGUACUGACGCUCAUGCACGAAAGCGUGGGGAGCAAACAGGAUUAGAAACCCGAGUAGUCCCAUG